ACGAACGCUGGCGGCGUGCUUAACACCUGCAAGUCGAACGGAAAGGCCCUGCUUGCAGGGUACUCGAGUGGCGAACGGGUGAGUAACACGUGGGUGAUCUGCCCUGCACUUCGGGAUAAGCCUGGGAAACUGGGUCUAAUACCGGAUAGGAGCCAUUUUUAGUGUGAUGGUUGGAAAGUUUUUUCGGUGUAGGAUGAGCUCGCGGCCUAUCAGCUUGUUGGUGGGGUAAUGGCCUACCAAGGCGGCGACGGGUAGCCGGCCUGAGAGGGUGGACGGCCACAUUGGGACUGAGAUACGGCCCAGACUCCUACGGGAGGCAGCAGUGGGGAAUAUUGCACAAUGGGCGCAAGCCUGAUGCAGCGACGCCGCGUGGGGGAUGACGGCCUUCGGGUUGUAAACUCCUUUCGCUAGGGACGAAGCUUUUUGUGACGGUACCUAGAUAAGAAGCACCGGCUAACUACGUG
RNAcentral lists this ribosomal RNA (464 nucleotides) under uncultured bacterium. Its description in RNAcentral is "partial 16S ribosomal RNA". It matches the Rfam family "Bacterial small subunit ribosomal RNA", at positions 29 to 507 of the family's 1533-position model. The record is from RNAcentral.